This is an RNA transcript of Musa acuminata AAA Group (dessert banana), 1866 nucleotides long. It is a transcript of the gene named ATP synthase gamma chain 1, chloroplastic-like, with no coding region annotated. NCBI's taxonomy places the organism in Eukaryota, Viridiplantae, Streptophyta, Magnoliopsida, Zingiberales, Musaceae. The record is from RefSeq and is a predicted model, not a curated record. The transcript has a single exon.
UUCUUCUAAUGACUUCUCCAAGUAGUUAGUACACCUGAACUACACGAUAGACUAUUAGAAAUGAUUGAGCCAUCAAAGCCAAACACACACACGGCUGCAGUACUUGUACCAAUGUGGUAUGCAUCGUAGCUUUUGUGUGAAUGCUAAUCCUAGAAAGCAAGUGGGAACUUACUUGAUUUAGGUCUCUUAUUCUCCUAGGCUCAUAUGUCAUUUCAUCUCGAUCAUACUUCUACCACCGCCAAUGUGAAGGUUGUAUCAGUACGAGUGCCAAAGCCAAAGCAAUGCAACAACUACAACCGGUGAAGAAUCUCCCACAGCUCCACAUUGUUCCCCGAAGAAUGUACUCUUCUUUACUCUCUGCUGCAUCCUUUCCCACCGCAUUCAAACGUUACCAAAGAAGGAAGGGGAGAAUCGUCAAACGUGAGACUUCCAUCAGACAAAAUCUAGCCUUAUCCCCGACCCAAUCCAACCCUCCCUCAACCUCUCGUUUCCCUCGCUCGUCUUCCCUACUUCCUCACCAUCCACACCUCCAACUCAGGCACCAACAUACACUCUCCCCUUCUUCUUCUUCUUCGUUCCACUCGGCUUGUUGCUAGUGACAAGCAUGUCUUGCUCCAACCUCACCGCAAUGUGGGCUUCCCCAAAGACGUGCGACCUCGACCACCUCUCCUCGCCCCCUUCCGACUCCUCUCGGCCGCUCCCGCGCCGGCCUCGUAGCCCUGCCUGCCGCCUUCCACCGCCGUGCACUGCGGUCUCCGCGAGCUCCGCGACCACAUCGACUCCGUGAAGAACACCCAGAAGAUCACGGAGGCCAUGAAGCUCGUAGCGGCGGCCAAGGUCCGCCGCGCCCAGGAGGCCGUCGUCAGUGGACGACCCUUCUCUGAAACCCUCGUCGAGGUGCUCUACAACAUCAACGAGCAGAUGCAGACGGAGGACGUGGACGUGCCCCUCACCCGCGUUCACCCCGUCCGCAAGAUCGCCCUCGUGGUGGUUACCGCCGAUCGUGGCCUCUGUGGCGGCUACAACAAUAACAUCAUCAAAAAGGCGGAGCAGCGCAUCAGGGAGCUCUCCGCCCUGGGCAUCGCCUACACCGUCAUCAGCGUGGGGAAGAUGGGUAACAGCUACUUCCAGCGCCGCCCCAACAUCCCCGUCGAUCGCUUCCUCGAGGUCGGCAGCCUGCCCACCACCAAGGAGGCCCAGGCCAUCGCCGACGACGUCUUCUCCCUCUUCGUCAGCGAGGACGUCGACAAGGUGGAGCUCCUCUACACCAAGUUCGUCUCCCUCGUCAAGUCUGACCCGGUCAUCCACACGCUCCUCCCGCUCUCCCCCAAGGGCGAGAUCUGCGACGUCAACGACGUCUGCGUCGACGCCGCCGAGGACGAGCUCUUCCGCCUCACCACCAACGAACGGAAGCUGACGGUGGAGCGGGAGACGGUGCGCACCCCGACGCCCGCCUUCUCCCCCAUCCUUCAGUUCGAGCAGGACCCGGUGCAGAUCCUGGACGCGCUGCUGCCGCUCUACCUCAACAGCCAGAUCCUGAGGGGCCCUGCAGGAGUCGCUGGCGAGCUCGCUCGCCGCGAGGAUGACCGCUAUGAGCAACGCCACCGACAACGCCGUGGAGCUGAGGAGGACGCUCUCCAUCGUCUACAACCGGGAGCGGCAGGUCAAGAUCACCGGUGGGAUAUUGGAGAUUGUCGCAGGCGCCGACGCCCUCUCCUAAUUAGUCUGUUCCAUUCUUCUUCUUCUUCUUGUGUUACAAGUCUUGUGCUACACGGGGCUGCAACUUAUCCAAAUGUUUACGAGGAAGGCAUGCAACUAUGAAUUCUCAAAAAGAAGAUAGAUAUAUCCAUCAUCACCUUAUUAUUA